AGGGCGCACGGUGGAUGCCUUGGCACUAGGAGCCGACGAAGGACGUGACAAACGACGAUAUGCCUUGGGUAGCUGUAAGUAAGCGAUGAUCCAGGGAUUUCCGAAUGGGGGAACCCAACAGGUAAUACCUGUUACCUACAUCUGUUAAGGAUGUGAGGAGGAAGACGCAGUGAACUGAAACAUCUAAGUAGCUGCAGGAAGAGAAAGCAAAAGCGAUUGCCUUAGUAGCGGCGAGCGAAACGGCAGAAGGGCAAACCGAAGAGUUUACUCUUCGGGGUUGUAGGACUGCAAUGUGGACUCAAAGAUUAUAGAAGAAUGAUUUGGGAAGAUCAGCCAAAGAGAGUAAUAGCCUCGUAUUUAAAAUAGUCUUUGUACCUAGCAGUAUCCUGAGUACGGCGGGACACGUGAAAUCCCGUCGGAAUCUGGGAGGACCAUCUCCCAACCCUAAAUACUCCCUAGUGACCGAUAGUGAACCAGUACCGUGAGGGAAAGGUGAAAAGCACCCCGGGAGGGGAGUGAAAUAGAACCUGAAACCGUGUGCCUACAACAAGUUCGAGCCCGUUAAUGGGUGAGAGCGUGCCUUUUGUAGAAUGAACCGGCGAGUUACGUUAUGAUGCGAGGUUAAGUUGAAGAGACGGAGCCGUAGGGAAACCGAGUCUGAAUAGGGCGCCUUAGUAUCAUGACGUAGACCCGAAACCAUGUGACCUACCCAUGAGCAGGUUGAAGGUGCGGUAAGACGCACUGGAGGACCGAACCAGGGCACGUUGAAAAGUGCUUGGAUGACUUGUGGGUAGCGGAGAAAUUCCAAACGAACUUGGAGAUAGCUGGUUCUCUCCGAAAUAGCUUUAGGGCUAGCGUCGACAUUAGAGAUUCUUGGAGGUAGAGCACUGUUUGGGUGAGGGGUCCAUCCCGGAUUACCAAUCUCAGAUAAACUCCGAAUGCCAAUGAAUUAUGGUCGGCAGUCAGACUGCGAGUGCUAAGAUCCGUAGUCGAAAGGGAAACAGCCCAGACCACCAGCUAAGGUCCCAAAAUAAUUGUUAAGUGGAAAAGGAUGUGGGGUUGCACAGACAACUAGGAUGUUAGCUUAGAAGCAGCUAUUCAUUCAAAGAGUGCGUAAUAGCUCACUAGUCGAGUGACCCUGCGCCGAAAAUGUACCGGGGCUAAAACAAUUUACCGAAGCUGUGGAUACCUUUAUAGGUAUGGUAGGAGAGCGUUCUAUGUGUGAUGAAGGUAUACCGUGAGGAGUGCUGGAACGCAUAGAAGUGAGAAUGCCGGUAUGAGUAGCGAAAGACAGGUGAGAAUCCUGUCCACCGUAAGACUAAGGUUUCCAGGGGAAGGCUCGUCCGCCCUGGGUUAGUCGGGACCUAAGGAGAGACCGAAAGGUGUAUCCGAUGGACAACAGGUUGAUAUUCCUGUACUAGAGUAUGUAGUGAUGGAGGGACGCAGUAGGCUAACUAAAGCAGACGAUUGGAAGAGUCUGUCUAAGCAGUGAGGUGUGAAUUGAGUCAAAUGCUUAAUUCUAUAACAUUGAGCUGUGAUGGGGAGCGAAGUUUAGUAGCGAAGUUAGUGACGUCACACUGCCAAGAAAAGCUUCUAGCGUUUAAACAUACUCUACCCGUACCGCAAACCGACACAGGUAGUCGAGGCGAGUAGCCUCAGGUGAGCGAGAGAACUCUCGUUAAGGAACUCGGCAAAAUGACCCCGUAACUUCGGGAGAAGGGGUGCUGACUUAAAGUCAGCCGCAGUGAAUAGGCCCAAGCAACUGUUUAUCAAAAACACAGCUCUCUGCUAAAUCGUAAGAUGAUGUAUAGGGGGUGACGCCUGCCCGGUGCUGGAAGGUUAAGAGGAGUGCUUAGCGUAAGCGAAGGUAUGAAUUGAAGCCCCAGUAAACGGCGGCCGUAACUAUAACGGUCCUAAGGUAGCGAAAUUCCUUGUCGGGUAAGUUCCGACCCGCACGAAAGGCGUAAUGAUUUGGGCACUGUCUCAACGAGAGACUCGGUGAAAUUUUAGUACCUGUGAAGAUGCAGGUUACCCGCGACAGGACGGAAAGACCCCAUGGAGCUUUACUGCAGUUUGAUAUUGAGUGUCUGUACCACAUGUACAGGAUAGGUAGGAGUCUAAGAGAUCGGGACGCCAGUUUCGAAGGAGACGCUGUUGGGAUACUACCCUUGUGUUAUGGCCACUCUAACCCAGAUAGGUGAUCCCUAUCGGAGACAGUGUCUGACGGGCAGUUUGACUGGGGCGGUCGCCUCCUAAAAGGUAACGGAGGCGCCCAAAGGUUCCCUCAGAAUGGUUGGAAAUCAUUCGCAGAGUGUAAAGGUAUAAGGGAGCUUGACUGCGAGAGCUACAACUCGAGCAGGGACGAAAGUCGGGCUUAGUGAUCCGGUGGUUCCGUAUGGAAGGGCCAUCGCUCAACGGAUAAAAGCUACCCUGGGGAUAACAGGCUUAUCUCCCCCAAGAGUUCACAUCGACGGGGAGGUUUGGCACCUCGAUGUCGGCUCGUCGCAUCCUGGGGCUGUAGUCGGUCCCAAGGGUUGGGCUGUUCGCCCAUUAAAGCGGCACGCGAGCUGGGUUCAGAACGUCGUGAGACAGUUCGGUCCCUAUCCGUCGCGGGCGUAGGAAAUUUGAGAGGAUCUGCUCCUAGUACGAGAGGACCAGAGUGGACUUACCGCUGGUGUACCAGUUGUCUUGCCAAAGGCAUCGCUGGGUAGCUAUGUAGGGAAGGGAUAAACGCUGAAAGCAUCUAAGUGUGAAACCCACCUCAAGAUGAGAUUUCCCAUGAUUAU
RNAcentral lists this ribosomal RNA (2786 nucleotides) under Streptococcus pneumoniae. RNAcentral's name for it is "bacterial LSU rRNA". It matches the Rfam family "Bacterial large subunit ribosomal RNA". Lineage: Bacteria; Bacillati; Bacillota; Bacilli; Lactobacillales; Streptococcaceae. The record is from RNAcentral.